This 366-nucleotide ribosomal RNA is filed under the name uncultured bacterium. Its description in RNAcentral is "bacterial SSU rRNA". It matches the Rfam family "Bacterial small subunit ribosomal RNA", at positions 29 to 425 of the family's 1533-position model. The record is from RNAcentral.
AACGAACGCUGGCGGCAGGCCUAACACAUGCAAGUCGAACGCUCCGCAAGGGGAGUGGCGCACGGGUGAGUAACACGUGGGAACCUACCUUCUGGUACGGAACAACCAAGGGAAACUCUGGCUGAUACCGUAUACGACCUCCGGGUGAAAGAUUGAUCGCCGGAAGAGGGGCCCGCGUCCGAUUAGGUAGUUGGUGAGGUAACGGCUCACCAAGCCUGCGAUCGGUAGCUGGUCUGAGAGGAUGACCAGCCACACUGGGACUGAGACACGGCCCAGACUCCUACAGGAGGCAGCAGUGGGGAAUAUUGGACAAUGGGCGCAAGCCUGAUCCAGCCAUGCCGCGUGAGUGAUGAAGGCCUUCGGUUG